This 467-nucleotide ribosomal RNA is filed under the name uncultured bacterium. RNAcentral's name for it is "partial 16S ribosomal RNA". It matches the Rfam family "Bacterial small subunit ribosomal RNA", at positions 28 to 506 of the family's 1533-position model. The record is from RNAcentral.
GACGAACGCUGGCGGCGUGCUUAACACAUGCAAGUCGAACGGAAAGGCCCUGCUUUUGUGGGGUGCUCGAGUGGCGAACGGGUGAGUAACACGUGAGUAACCUGCCCUUGACUUUGGGAUAACUUCAGGAAACUGGGGCUAAUACCGGAUAGGAGCUCCUGCUGCAUGGUGGGGGUUGGAAAGUUUCGGCGGUUGGGGAUGGACUCGCGGCUUAUCAGCUUGUUGGUGGGGUAGUGGCUUACCAAGGCUUUGACGGGUAGCCGGCCUGAGAGGGUGACCGGCCACAUUGGGACUGAGAUACGGCCCAGACUCCUACGGGAGGCAGCAGUGGGGAAUAUUGCACAAUGGGCGGAAGCCUGAUGCAGCAACGCCGCGUGCGGGAUGACGGCCUUCGGGUUGUAAACCGAUUUCGCCUGUGACGAAGCGUGAGUGACGGUAAUGGGGAAAGAAGCACCGGCUAACUACGU